UUGACCUCAAAUCAGGUAGGACUACCCGCUGAACUUAAGCAUAUCAAUAAGCGGAGGAAAAGAAACUAACAAGGAUUCCCCUAGUAACUGCGAGUGAAGCGGGAAAAGCUCAAAUUUAAAAUCUGGCGGUCUUGCGGCUGUCCGAGUUGUAAUCUGGAGAAGCGUUUAUCCGCGUCGGACCGUGUACAAGUCUUCUGGAAGGGAGCGUCGUAGAGGGUGAGAAUCCCGUCUUUGACACGGACAACCGGUGCUUUUGUGAUGC
This 262-nucleotide ribosomal RNA is filed under the name uncultured Piloderma. RNAcentral's name for it is "partial 28S ribosomal RNA". It matches the Rfam family "Eukaryotic large subunit ribosomal RNA", at positions 1 to 254 of the family's 3401-position model. The record is from RNAcentral. Lineage: Eukaryota; Fungi; Basidiomycota; Agaricomycetes; Atheliales; Atheliaceae.